This 253-nucleotide ribosomal RNA is filed under the name uncultured bacterium. Its description in RNAcentral is "partial 16S ribosomal RNA". It matches the Rfam family "Bacterial small subunit ribosomal RNA", at positions 524 to 776 of the family's 1533-position model. The record is from RNAcentral.
UACGGAGGGAGCUAGCGUUGUUCGGAAUUACUGGGCGUAAAGGGCUCGUAGGUGGCCAACUAAGUCAGACGUGAAAUCCCUCAGCUUAACUGGGGAACUGCGUCUGAUACUGGAUGGCUUGAGUUUGGGAGAGGGAUGCGGAAUUCCAGGUGUAGCGGUGAAAUGCGUAGAUAUCUGGAGGAACACCGGUGGCGAAGGCGGCAUCCUGGACCAACACUGACACUGAGGAGCGAAAGCCAGGGGAGCAAACGGG